GAUGAACGCUGGCGGCGUGCCUAAUACAUGCAAGUCGAGCGAACAGAUGAGAAGCUUGCUUCUCUGAUGUUAGCGGCGGACGGGUGAGUAACACGUGGGUAACCUACCUAUAAGACUGGGAUAACUCCGGGAAACCGGGGCUAAUACCGGAUAAUAUUUUGAACCGCAUGGUUCAAAAGUGAAAGACGGUUUCGGCUGUCACUUAUAGAUGGACCCGCGCCGUAUUAGCUAGUUGGUAAGGUAACGGCUUACCAAGGCGACGAUACGUAGCCGACCUGAGAGGGUGAUCGGCCACACUGGAACUGAGACACGGUCCAGACUCCUACGGGAGGCAGCAGUAGGGAAUCUUCCGCAAUGGGCGAAAGCCUGGCGGAGCAACGCCGCGUGAGUGAUGAAGGUCUUCGGAUCGUAAAACUCUGUUGUUAGGGAAGAACAAAUUUGUUAGUAACUGAACAAGUCUUGACGGUACCUAACCAGAAAGCCACGGCUAACUACGUGCCAGCCGCCGCAGUAA
Molecule: ribosomal RNA, 514 nt
Filed under: uncultured bacterium
Lineage: Bacteria
Description: partial 16S ribosomal RNA
Rfam family: Bacterial small subunit ribosomal RNA
Source: RNAcentral